Molecule: ribosomal RNA, 495 nt
Filed under: uncultured bacterium
Lineage: Bacteria
Description: partial 16S ribosomal RNA
Rfam family: Bacterial small subunit ribosomal RNA
Source: RNAcentral
GGCGAACGCUGGCGGCGUGCCUAAUACAUGCAAGUAGAACGCUGAAGGAGGAGCUUGCUUCUCUGGAUGAGUUGCGAACGGGUGAGUAACGCGUAGGUAACCUGCCUGGUAGCGGGGGAUAACUAUUGGAAACGAUAGCUAAUACCGCAUAAGAGUAGAUGUUGCAUGACAUUUGCUUAAAAGUUGCAAUUGCAUCACUACCAGAUGGACCUGCGUUGUAUUAGCUAGUUGGUGGGGUAACGGCUCACCAAGGCGACGAUACAUAGCCGACCUGAGAGGGGGGUCAGCCACCCUGGGACUGAGACACGGCCCAGACUCCUACGGGAGGCAGCAGUAGGGAAUCUUCGGCAAUGGACGGAAGUCUGACCGAGCAACGCCGAGUGAGGGAAGAAGGUUUUCGGAUCGUAAAGCUCUGUUGUAAGAGAAGAACGAGUGUGAGAGUGGAAAGUUCACACUGUGACGGUAACUUACCAGAAAGGGACGGCUAACUACGUG